UACGUAGGGUGCAAGCGUUAAUCGGAAUUACUGGGCGUAAAGCGUGCGCAGGCGGUUAUGCAAGACAGAUGUGAAAUCCCCGGGCUCAACCUGGGAAUGGCGAUGGAGACUGCAAGGCUAGAGUUUGGCAGAGGGGGGUAGAAUUCCGACGUGUAGCAGUGAAAUGCGUAGAUAUGUGGAGGAACACCGAUGGCGAAGGCAGCCCCCCUGGGUCAAAACUGACGCUCAUGCACGAAAGCGUGGGGAGCAAACAGG
RNAcentral lists this ribosomal RNA (255 nucleotides) under uncultured bacterium. RNAcentral's name for it is "partial 16S ribosomal RNA". It matches the Rfam family "Bacterial small subunit ribosomal RNA", at positions 524 to 776 of the family's 1533-position model. The record is from RNAcentral.